RNAcentral lists this ribosomal RNA (1376 nucleotides) under Andrena labiata. RNAcentral's name for it is "16S ribosomal RNA". The record is from RNAcentral. Lineage: Eukaryota; Metazoa; Arthropoda; Insecta; Hymenoptera; Andrenidae.
ACACUGAAACAAUUUAAAAUUAAUUUUUGAAAUUUUAAUGUAAAUUUUAUGAAUAUUUUUUAAUGGGUUAAUUAAUUUAGUAAAAAUAAUUGAAGUAUGAGUUGUUUAAGUAGAUAUUUAGAAUAAAUUUAUUUUUAUAUAAUGUUAGUAUUGUGAGAGAAUAUUUUAUAUUCAAUUAAGUAAAUAGAUUGUUUUACCUUUUGUAUCAGGGUUUAUUAAAUAAUUAAUAUUAAUAUUGUAUUAAUCUCGAAAUUAAAAGGGUUAAUUAUAAAUUAUUUUUUAUGUUGUAUAAUAAUUAUUAAUUUAUAAUUAGGAGUGAAAUGUUAUUCGGUUUUAUUGAUAUCUAGUUUCUUUUGAAAUGAAUUUAAUUCAUGUAUUUAUUCAAUUAAUAAGAAUGUUUUUUUUUUUAAUUAAAUACUAAAAAUUUAUGGGAUAAUCUAUAAAUUUAAUUUAUUAUUUAAGUCUUAUUAUUUAUAUAGUUGUAAUUUUAAAAUUUAAUUUCGUUUGAAAUAAUUUAAUAAUUUAUUUAUGUUAAUUAAAAGAUUUAUUGUGAUUUUGAUAUAAUUUUUUAAGAAGAAUUUUAUUAAAAUAGAUUUUGUGAAGAUAUAAUGAUAAAAUUAGUAAUUAAAUUAGUUGACUAUAUUAAUUAAUCAAAUUGAAAUAAAGGAAUUCGGCAAAUUAAAAAUAUUCACCUGUUUAUCAAAAACAUGUCUUUUUGAUAAUAAUUUAAAGUCUGCUCUGCCCAAUGAAUAAAUUUGAAUGGCUGCAGUAUAUUGACUGUACUAAGGUAGCAUAAUAAUUAGUCUUUUUAUUGAAGGCUUGAAUGAAGGAGUUGAUGAAAUAUUUACUGUCUCUAUUUUAAAAUAUGAAUUUAAAUUUUAAGUAAAAAUGCUUAAAUUUUUAUAUGGGACGAGAAGACCCUAUAGAAUUUUAUAAUUUAUCUAAAUAAAUAUACUUAGAUAAAUUAUUUUGUUGGGAGGACAUUUAAAUUUGUUUAACUUUAAAAAUUUUGAUCAAUUAUUUUUGUUUGAGAAGAUAGUUUAUUAAAAAUUACUAGAUUAAAUUACCUUAGGGAUAACAGCGUAAUAUCUUUGGAGAGAUCAUAUUUAUAAAGAUGAUUACGACCUCGAUGUUGAAUUAAGAUACAAUUUAAAUGCAGAAGUUUAAAUUUUAAGUCUGUUCGACUUUUAAAAUCUUACAUGAUUUGAGUUCAGAUCGGUGUGAGCCAGAUCGGUUUCUAUCUAUAUUUAAGUAAUAAAUUUUUGUACGAAAGGACUUGAUUUAUGAACUAGUUUUUAAUUAAUUAUUGAGAUUUAAAAUUUAAUUACUUCCUUGGCAGAAUAGUGCAUUAAAUUUAGAAUUUAAAAUAUAUAUAU